Ficedula albicollis (Collared flycatcher) is the source of this 259-nucleotide long non-coding RNA. RefSeq lists it as uncharacterized. The record is from RefSeq and is a predicted model, not a curated record. NCBI's taxonomy places the organism in Eukaryota, Metazoa, Chordata, Aves, Passeriformes, Muscicapidae. The transcript has 3 exons.
GGGGGGUUGUUGAUCUGUGCGGGGUCCUGAGCAGCCUGUCUAGUGAAUGGCGUUCCUGCUCAUGGCGUCAGGAUUGCCGUGAUGUGGUAUCCACAGAGGUGACAGGAACAUCACAAAGGAGACAAGGAGACAAGAUUUUCUGAUUAUAGAUACAGGACCCAUGUGGAUUCCAGCAAAGAAUGUGAAACCCUAUCGAGUGCAAGGAAGUGCUGACCACUCCCUCAGUAAAGAAGCAGGCAUGCAGAUGUGAACUGCACAG